CACACCGCCCGUCACACCAUGGGAGUCAGUUGCUCCAGAAACGGCUGCGCUAACCCGCAAGGGGGGCAGGUCUUUAAGGAGUGACUGGUAACUGGGGUG
Molecule: ribosomal RNA, 99 nt
Filed under: uncultured bacterium
Lineage: Bacteria
Description: partial 16S ribosomal RNA
Rfam family: Bacterial small subunit ribosomal RNA
Source: RNAcentral